GCCUGCCCAGUGAAUGCAUUAAACGGCCGCGGUAUCCUAACCGUGCAAAGGUAGCACAAUCACUUGUUCUUUAAAUGAGGACUAGUAUGAAUGGCACCAUGAGGAUCACCUUGUCUCUCAAAAUAAGUCUAUGAAACUGCUCUCCCAGUACAAAAGCUGAGAUAAACCCACAAGACGAGAAGACCCUGUGGAGCUUCAAACUUCAGCUCACACCCUAUGACCCUGCAGUUUUUAGUUGGGGCGACUUUGGAGACAAAACUAACCUCCAAAUAAUUUAUUUUUAGACUGCCGAGUCUAAAACACCCUCCAAUUGACCCAAUACAAUUGACCAAUGAACCAAGUUACCCCAGGGAUAACAGCGCAAUCUUCUCCUAGAGUUCCUAUCGACAAGAAGGUUUACGACCUCGAUGUUGGAUCCGGAUACCCAAAUAGUGCAGCCGCUAUUAACAGGUUCGUUUGUUCAACGAUUAAUAAUCCCACGUGAUCUGAGUUCAGACCGG
RNAcentral lists this ribosomal RNA (500 nucleotides) under Leposternon microcephalum (smallhead worm lizard). RNAcentral's name for it is "partial 16S ribosomal RNA". It matches the Rfam family "Bacterial large subunit ribosomal RNA", at positions 1857 to 2619 of the family's 2925-position model. The record is from RNAcentral. Lineage: Eukaryota; Metazoa; Chordata; Lepidosauria; Squamata; Amphisbaenidae.